CCUUUUAAUUAUUUUUUAAAAGCAGAGUUAUAUUUGCAUCUCAGCUGUGGCCUUUUAGGGUUCCCAAGCAAGCUGAAACCUAUUGGAGUACCUCAUGUACCCGUAAGUGUGGGACAACAGUUCCAGGGGAAUAGACUUACUGUAUAGAGUUAUACAUAGUUAUCAACAGUAUUGAUACUCAUCUGUUGAAAUUGACAAUUGCUUUCACUCUGAAAUGCCGGUGUCUCUGAAAAAAUACUUUAUUCAUUACUUUUGCUUAGAGAUACUCUUUCUUAGCCAUUUAGCAGACCAAAUUCAUUAAAGGUGUGUGUUUUGUGCAAUUUUAAUCACCAGUGAAAUUCUAUUUGACUUGACAAUGUAACAGUGGGGAUUUGACUCAUAAAGAUGUAAAUUAAGAGUAAAUAGAGAAAAAAUGUUUCUUUGCAUACAUCUGAAUGUCUAUUUCCUCAUUUUAACAGAUUAAUUAAUAUUACUUCUUUAUCAUAAAUUAAUAAGUGCUUUAGGGGGAAUUCAGGGAAGAGUAACCAAAAUGAUUAGCGUACUAAAGGGCUAAUAUAUGGAGAAACGUCUGCAUAGAUACAAAUGAAAAGAGUUUGGGUAAUGACGUGUUUGGGGCCAGGGAGAUCUGCAACAUGCAAGAGUAAUAGUAGUGUUCCUGCUGAGGUGCUCACUCAUGCUAGCAAUGAUCAGUGCUUAAGGACAAUCAUAGGUUCCAGCCUAGGCUUCAGACUGGUUUUGAGUGGUUGCUUCAAGGUGUGUAAACUCUAGAGAGAAAUCAGAUUUCAGAAGCUUCACACACCUGGCCUAUUGUAUCACCUUACUCUGCAUGACUUAAUGUGCAACUGAGUAUUUGUCACUCUUCUGAGAGUCCAGAUUUUCUCAUGCAUUUCACAGCAAAUUGAAGCACUUGAUUUGGGACUUUGUAUCCUACUUUAGAGGCUAGGUCCCUGAAGUCUGCAUGUGGUAGCAUCUAGCUUACAGGUACUGUACCACUUUUUUUUUUUUUUUCCUCAUAUUACAGUCAUUCUUCCCCACAAAGAAACAUAAAAUUGUGGGGAAAAACAUCUAAAAGAGAAGAAUGUCCCCUCAGGAUCAGCAUUUGUUCACUUCAACAGCUCCCACAACCAUCCCUUCUCUUCCCUGGGUGGAAGGCUCAUCAUGUGGACUGAGUGCUGCUGAGGAACUGAAUGGUGAUCUGUUUACAUGCUUGUGGAUGAAAAGCAGAGUACAAGCCUGUUCCGGAGAUGAAGCAGCACUGAAGAGAAUUGGUGGAUGAUAACUGUAGAACUCCACUUGUUGAGAAGGUGUUUUGUGUGUCAAAAGAUCAUGGACUGCUCAUUGUCUGUGUGGCUCAUGAAGGUAACAAGAUGGGAGAACUGAAGGAACAGAGUUGUGAAGCCAUGUAUCUGCUCAAAGCCAUAAAGAAGACCAGUGACAAAUCCAGGAACAGAAACCAAGUCUCCUGAGUUGCAGCCUAAUGCCACUAAAUAUUGUGAUCAACAAGACAGUUUGCCUUCUGAUGUUAGUGAGGACCUAUGUAGCAAGUGGUGAUGAUCUCUGAGACAUUUUUAUGCAGUAAGAGCCCCUGGGUAUCCCACCUGGCCUCUCACUGCUAGUUUAAAGGUGUGAGUCUCCUGUAAGUUCCACAUCAUCUCUUCCAGCCCUGCAUGCUCCAGGGUAUUUCAGCAGACAU
Molecule: long non-coding RNA, 1693 nt
Organism: Pezoporus occidentalis (night parrot)
Lineage: Eukaryota; Metazoa; Chordata; Aves; Psittaciformes; Psittacidae
Exons: 7
Source: RefSeq, a predicted model, not a curated record